UACGCCGCUCGAGCCCCCUCGGCUCGGUGUUGGGGCGCUAGGGGCCGCGGCCCCUAGGCUCCCAAAUGCAUUGCGCGGCCCCAGGACCAGGACCCGAGCACAGUAAACUCGCCGUUGAGCUGCUCCGGGAUACUGCGCCGAGGCGCCAGCCGUAAAACCCCCGACACAGGCCCCCACGGGCCGACUGA
RNAcentral lists this unclassified non-coding RNA (188 nucleotides) under uncultured Cordycipitaceae. RNAcentral's name for it is "sequence contains ITS2". Lineage: Eukaryota; Fungi; Ascomycota; Sordariomycetes; Hypocreales; Cordycipitaceae. The record is from RNAcentral.